RNAcentral lists this transfer RNA (66 nucleotides) under Cavia porcellus (domestic guinea pig). It matches the Rfam family "tRNA". From Rfam's summary of the family: Transfer RNA (tRNA) molecules are approximately 80 nucleotides in length. Lineage: Eukaryota; Metazoa; Chordata; Mammalia; Rodentia; Caviidae. The record is from Rfam by way of RNAcentral.
GGUUGUGGCUCAGUGGUAGAGUGCUUGCCUAGCAUCAUGUUCUGGGUUCAAUCCCCAGUACUACCA